AUGGCUCUGUGGUCACAAUGCACCAGCUGGCUUUCACUGGAACAGUGUCUAAAGUACACGCACAUCUCACAAGAUGCCUCCCUGACUAUGAGGCUGCUGUACACACAAACCUCAGCACAGCAUGGAAAGAGGAAGAGAGGCAAAACAGUUCUCAUCCCAGCAAUUCAUCAUGGCGGAAAAUUCAUCCUGGGAGUCCCAAUCUUCUCCCACUAUCUCUUUCAAGUAAAGAAGGAAGCCUUUCCCUUUCUGAAGAAUUCAACCCACAAGACACAUGAAAUGACACUGCUUUUUCCAGCCAUCUUCAAGGAGCAAACAUUUCAAAGGUUGCCAUUCAAUGGAAGAAAAAGCUGUGUGAGACAAAGGAGCCUUGUACUGAUGGCACAGGAGUUUUAACUUCAAGACUCAAUCUGCAACAGAUUUCUUGGACAACCAUUGAUAACCAAUUCAUUUAUGAGAGUACCCAGAUCUCACUAAAAUCAGUGGAUAGACUUUGGUGGGCUUUGGGAUUUUGUUUCAGUGCCUCCACAAACUGAUGAAAGUGUUGCAUUAUGAGAGUGUAUAAGACUAAAUGAUAUUUUUUUUUUCAAAAGAUUUAGUUUAGAAGAGUAUAUAGGUCAGAAACUGAAGGACUUAUGUAUUGUAGCCUUAUACCCUCAUACUUACUCGCUGUUAGAGUUCCACUCAUAUCUAAUGCAGGAGCUUUUUGUGCGCUCUCACGGUGGCACGAGCACUGCUUUUGCACAGAGUCCUCCUCAAUUUAAUCAUUAGAUCUCCAUACCAUGUAUCUCCCUUCUUCUUUCUUCCUUUCUGGUCACAAUGUUAUGCUAGAGAUGAAUCUCCUAUAGUAUUUGAAUAUUUGAUAUUUACAUUGUCUUUCAUGUUGAUUCUCAUGUUAAAAGACCUCAAGAUAAGGAGAGAUGACCACUGAGGUGCUGUUUGUUUUUCCAUCUGAAUUUCUGUCUCCAUCAUCUCUACCUUCUCUACCUGUGAUUUUCUGGCAAAAAAAAAUAAACAAAAAAAAAUUCUGUCUUCGGUUUACUAG
This 1042-nucleotide long non-coding RNA is filed under the name Anser brachyrhynchus (Pink-footed goose). Its description in RNAcentral is "lncRNA (ENSABRG00000003043.1)". The record is from RNAcentral. Lineage: Eukaryota; Metazoa; Chordata; Aves; Anseriformes; Anatidae.